CCUACGGGAGGCUGCAGUGAGGAAUAUUGGUCAAUGGGCGCGAGCCUGAACCAGCCAAGUAGCGUGAAGGAUGACUGCCCUACGGGUUGUAAACUUCUUUUAUAGGGGAAUAAAGUGAUGCACGUGUGCCUUUUUGUAUGUACCUUAUGAAUAAGGAUCGGCUAACUCCGUGCCAGCAGCCGCGGUAAUACGGAGGAUCCGAGCGUUAUCCGGAUUUAUUGGGGUUAAAGGGAGCGUAGGUGGGUUGUUAAGUCAGUUGUGAAAGUUUGCGGCUCAACCGUAAAAUUGCAGUUGAUACUGGCAGUCUUGAGUACAGUAGAGGUAGGCGGAAUGCGUGGUGUAGCGGUGAAAUGCUUAGAUAUCACGAAGAACUCCGAUUGCGAAGGCAGCUUACUGGACUGCCACUGACACUGAGGCUCGAAAGUGUGGGUAUCAAACAGGAUUAGAUACCCCAGUAGUC
RNAcentral lists this ribosomal RNA (460 nucleotides) under uncultured bacterium. RNAcentral's name for it is "partial 16S ribosomal RNA". It matches the Rfam family "Bacterial small subunit ribosomal RNA", at positions 338 to 795 of the family's 1533-position model. The record is from RNAcentral.